UACAUGGGGUGCAAACGUUGCCCGGAAUCAUUGGGCGUAAAGCGCGCGUAGGCGGUUGCUUAUGUCGGAUGUGAAAGCCCCCGGCUUAACUGAGGAAGUGCAUCCGAAACUGGGCAGCUAGAGUACGAAAGAGGGUCGCGGAAUUCCCGGUGUAGAGGUGAAAUUCGUAGAUAUCGGGAGGAACACCGGUGGCGAAGGCGGCGACCUGGGUCGAGACUGACGCUGAGGCGCGAAAGCGUGGGGAGCAAACAGG
This 253-nucleotide ribosomal RNA is filed under the name uncultured bacterium. RNAcentral's name for it is "partial 16S ribosomal RNA". It matches the Rfam family "Bacterial small subunit ribosomal RNA", at positions 524 to 776 of the family's 1533-position model. The record is from RNAcentral.